RNAcentral lists this transfer RNA (53 nucleotides) under Oroperipatus sp. DVL-2011. RNAcentral describes it as "tRNA-Ser". The record is from RNAcentral. Lineage: Eukaryota; Metazoa; Onychophora; Udeonychophora; Euonychophora; Peripatidae.
UACGAUUAAUCUUUUGAAGAAUUUGUUUUGAAAACAAAAUUUAUCAGUUCAAU